RNAcentral lists this ribosomal RNA (445 nucleotides) under uncultured bacterium. RNAcentral's name for it is "partial 16S ribosomal RNA". It matches the Rfam family "Bacterial small subunit ribosomal RNA", at positions 354 to 796 of the family's 1533-position model. The record is from RNAcentral.
GUAGGGAAUAUUGGGCAAUGGAGGCAACUCUGACCCAGCCAUGCCGCGUGCAGGAUGACGGCCCUCUGGGUUGUAAACUGCUUUUAUACGGGAAGAAAAAAUACUACGUGUAGUAUACUGACGGUACCGUAAGAAUAAGGAUCGGCUAACUCCGUGCCAGCAGCCGCGGUAAUACGGAGGAUCCAAGCGUUGUCCGGAUUUAUUGGGUUUAAAGGGUGCGUAGGCGGAUCUUUAAGUCAGUGGUGAAAGCCUGCAGCUUAACUGUAGAAUUGCCAUUGAAACUGAAGAUCUUGAAUGUGGUUAAAGUAGGCGGAAUGUAUCAUGUAGCGGUGAAAUGCUUAGAUAUGAUACAGAACACCGAUAGCGAAGGCAGCUCACUAGGUCUGGAUUGACGCUCAGGGACGAAAGCGUGGGGAGCAAACAGGAUUAGAAACCCGAGUAGUCC